CACAGGAUGCAAGGAUUUCAGACAGGUUUCUGGAGCUGCAGGUAAAAGUUAGUUCCUAGUUUCUCUCUCUCUAAAUUUCUCUCUUGAGUUAAAGUAUGCUUCCAUUGCAGGAUCAGUGACCAAGAUUGGACAGGCUUCCAUGAAUCAAAACUUAAUGGUGGUUGCCACCAAGUUCUGUUCACUUCUUUUUGACCUAUAUCCAAGAGUUCUUUGCGAAAGCGAGCCUUGAAGAUUGCCGCCUCCAAGUCCCGUUUCGAACUCCUUUAUUUGAGUCUUUAUGAAUCAAGCCUUAAUGGUUUUAGCCACCAAGUCCUGUUCAGACUCAUCCUAAUUAAACAAUAGAUCUUUCUUAUAUAUUUUUUUUAUUAUUUAUUAUUAUUUAUUUAUUUAUUUUUUUAUUUUUUAUAGAACUAAUCUAGGGUCGAAAUCUAGAGAGAUAAAAUGUGAUAAAUAAUCUAAACCAGGCGUUACCUUCCAGACCUAUCUGAAGAAUCCGAUCCCAUGUAUACCAAGCCCCAAGAUAAGCGGUUAUGUCAGGUUUAGUGUUGGAAAUCAGCUUUGGUUACUUCAUACGGUUCAAGGCAAGUGUGUAGUUGAUAGGUUGAUCUGUUUUAACAUCUUUAGUGCUAUCUGCAAUCAGUAAAUCUAAAAUGGUGCUAAAGAUUGGUUAGAUAUUCAUGUUUAAACCAGUAUAAGAUUAUAGUCCCUAUUUUCGAUAGCUAAGCAUAAUUUAUUUGAAAUUCCUUUUUACGUAAGAAUAAAAUAAAUUAUAUCAGUAAAUCUCCCCCCAGACUUAAAUUACACUGUCCCAGUGUAACUCAGCCGGAGGUAUGAUAAAAAGUAAAUGAUGUACGAAAUGUAACAAGUAGGUAAGAUACAUCUG
RNAcentral lists this long non-coding RNA (883 nucleotides) under Brassica rapa (field mustard). Its description in RNAcentral is "long non-coding RNA (BRAP_LNC007663)". The record is from RNAcentral. Lineage: Eukaryota; Viridiplantae; Streptophyta; Magnoliopsida; Brassicales; Brassicaceae.